Molecule: ribosomal RNA, 279 nt
Filed under: uncultured bacterium
Lineage: Bacteria
Description: partial 16S ribosomal RNA
Rfam family: Bacterial small subunit ribosomal RNA
Source: RNAcentral
UGCCAGCCGCCGCGGUAAUACGGAGACUGCGAGCGUUACUCGGAUUCACUGGGCGUAAAGGGUGCGUAGGCGGACAGAUGUGUCAGGUGUGAAAGCCCAGAGCUCAACUCUGGAACUGCGCCUGAAACUAUUUGUCUAGAGUAUCGGAGAGGUAAGCGGAAUUCCUAGUGUAGCGGUGAAAUGCGUAGAUAUCAGGAGGAACACCGAUGGCGAAGGCAUCUCUCUGGGUCGAUAUUGACGCUGAGGCGCGAAGGCGUGGGUAGCGAACGGGAUUAGAUA